This is a long non-coding RNA of Myotis davidii, 944 nucleotides long. RefSeq lists it as uncharacterized. Lineage: Eukaryota; Metazoa; Chordata; Mammalia; Chiroptera; Vespertilionidae. The record is from RefSeq and is a predicted model, not a curated record. The transcript has 2 exons.
UAUUGAAAUACUUUCAUACAGAUGGUAAAGAGGCUGCUGGCCUACACCCCUGUCCUGCUGGCCUUACCUCUGGGAUCCACCUGUCCCUUCUGGCCUGGCCAAGCAAAGGGCUGCAGACCCUACUCAGUGCUGAGGCUACAUCCAUCCUGAUGGAUCAGUGCUCAUGCCACACACAUUUUUAAGCAUUUUAAUUCCAUCCCUGCCUCAUGCUACUGUUACUAAGAUAUUCCAGCACUAGGGAAUUUUCUCUUUUCCAGAUUACUGGAAAAGCAAUCCAGCUCAUCUCCUUGCCUCCUGCCUCUUUCACCUGGACUCUGCAUAGCAGUCAGAAUAAUUUAUCUAUAAUGCAAGCUGAUCACAUCUCUUCCCUGCUUAACACCUUGAACAUCAAGAUAAUAUGAAGAUAACAUCCAACUCCCUAAGCUCACCAGGGCCUUCAUGAUCUGACAGCUUCUCAUUCUUCACAUCUCACCACCUCAGAGAUGUCUCCCGAUACUGUCUAAAGUUUUGAUACUCUACCUCCAUUCCCCAACCUCCAACCCCCCAAAACCUGUGGCAUAUAGCUCUAUUUGUCAGAUAGUUUAUUUGAGGGGAUUGCAAACUCUUUAAAAAUCUGUUCUGCUACAAUUGUUCACAGCAUGGUCCACAUCUGCGACUACUCUUGAAAAACACCAACAGAUGAAGAUAUUUAUGAAUUUUAUGGGUGAGGAUAAAGGUGUGGAGCUUGGAGUGGCAGAGCCUGUAUCACCUCUAAAAUAGUAAGAGACACUCAGUCCAUUGAGAGGGAAGGGAACACGGAAGGAGGAAGGUGGUUUCAACAAGCCCAGUGUGUAACUAGCAUUCUCAGAGUCAGCCUGUAACUGUCAGUUCAUGAUUAUUCGUUCAUUGGACCUUUGUUUCUUUUCAACUUCUGUCUUUUCUAUAAUAACACGGAACGUUAUAGU